CGUGCUAAUCUGCGAAAAGCGCCGGUAAGGUGAUAUGAACCGUUAUAACCGGCGAUACCCGAAUGGGGAAACCCAGUGUGAUUCGUCACACUAUCAUUAACUGAAUCCAUAGGUUAAUGAGGCGAACCGGGGGAACUGAAACAUCUAAGUACCCCGAGGAAAAGAAAUCAACCGAGAUUCCCCCAGUAGCGGCGAGCGAACGGGGAGGAGCCCAGAGCCUGAAUCAGCAUGUGUGUUAGUGGAAGCGUCUGGAAAGGCGCGCGAUACAGGGUGACAGCCCCGUACACAAAAGCGCAUGUGCUGUGAGCUCGAUGAGUAGGGCGGGACACGUGGUAUCCUGUCUGAAUAUGGGGGGACCAUCCUCCAAGGCUAAAUACUCCUGACUGACCGAUAGUGAACCAGUACCGUGAGGGAAAGGCGAAAAGAACCCCGGCGAGGGGAGUGAAAAAGAACCUGAAACCGUGUACGUACAAGCAGUGGGAGCACAGGUUUACCUGUGUGACUGCGUACCUUUUGUAUAAUGGGUCAGCGACUUAUAUUCUGUAGCAAGGUUAACCGAAUAGGGGAGCCGGAGGGAAACCGAGUCUUAAUUGGGCGUUAAGUUGCAGGGUAUAGACCCGAAACCCGGUGAUCUAGCCAUGGGCAGGUUGAAGGUUGGGUAACACUAACUGGAGGACCGAACCGACUAAUGUUGAAAAAUUAGCGGAUGACCUGUGGCUGGGGGUGAAAGGCCAAUCAAACCGGGAGAUAGCUGGUUCUCCCCGAAAGCUAUUUAGGUAGCGCCUCGUGAAUUCAUCUCCGGGGGUAGAGCACUGUUUCGGCUAGGGGGCCAUCCCGGCUUACCAACCCGAUGCAAACUGCGAAUACCGGAGAAUGUUAUCACGGGAGACACACGGCGGGUGCUAACGUCCGUCGUGAAGAGGGAAACAACCCAGACCGCCAGCUAAGGUCCCAAAGUCAUGGUUAAGUGGGAAACGAUGUGGGAAGGCCCAGACAGCCAGGAUGUUGGCUUAGAAGCAGCCAUCAUUUAAAGAAAGCGUAAUAGCUCACUGGUCGAGUCGGCCUGCGCGGAAGAUGUAACGGGGCUAAACCAUGCACCGAAGCUGCGGCAGCGAACGUAUCACUUAAAGCGAUUCAGCGGAUUACGAUUGACGGAG
Molecule: ribosomal RNA, 1157 nt
Filed under: Salmonella enterica subsp. enterica serovar Kentucky
Lineage: Bacteria; Pseudomonadati; Pseudomonadota; Gammaproteobacteria; Enterobacterales; Enterobacteriaceae
Description: bacterial LSU rRNA
Rfam family: Bacterial large subunit ribosomal RNA
Source: RNAcentral